This 910-nucleotide ribosomal RNA is filed under the name uncultured Bacillota bacterium. Its description in RNAcentral is "bacterial SSU rRNA". It matches the Rfam family "Bacterial small subunit ribosomal RNA", at positions 58 to 945 of the family's 1533-position model. Lineage: Bacteria; Bacillati; Bacillota. The record is from RNAcentral.
CAAGUCGAGCGAGGCCAGGGGGGCAACUCCCUGAGUCGAGCGGCGGACGGGUGAGUAACACGUGGGUAACCUACCCGGAAGUGGGGAAUACCUCGGGGAAACUCGAGCUAAUACCGCAUUACAUCUUCGGGACGAAAGUUCUGACGAUCAAAGCGGGGUCGCAAGAUCUCGCGCUACCGGAUGGGCCCGCGCCCGAUUAGCUAGUUGGUGAGGUAACGGCUCACCAAGGCGACGAUCGGUAACCGGCCUGAGAGGGCGAUCGGUCACACCGGAACUGAGACACGGUCCGGACUCCUACGGGAGGCAGCAGUGGGGAAUCUUGCGCAAUGGGCGAAAGCCUGACGCAGCAACGCCGCGUGGAGGAUGAAGGCCCUUGGGUUGUAAACUCCUGUCGGCUGGGAAGAAAUCGUUUGCGACUAAUACUCGCGGACGUUGACUGUACCAGCAAAGGAAGCCCCGGCUAACUCUGUGCCAGCAGCCGCGGUAAUACAGAGGGGGCCAGCGUUAUUCGGAAUUAUUGGGCGUAAAGGGCGCGUAGGCGGCCACGCGUGUCUUCCGUGAAAUCCCUCGGCUCAACCGAGGACGUGCGGAAGAAACUGCGAGGCUCGAGUCCAGAAGAGGGGGGCGGAAUUCCCAGUGUAGCGGUGAAAUGCGUAGAUAUUGGGAGGAACACCGGUGGCGAAGGCGGCCCCCUGGGCUGGUACUGACGCUGAUGCGCGAAAGCGUGGGUAGCAAACGGGAUUAGAUACCCCGGUAGUCCACGCCGUAAACGAUGGGCACUUGGUGUCGCGGGUAUCGACCCCUGCGGUGCCGAAGCUAACGCAUUAAGUGCCCCGCCUGGGGAGUACGGUCGCAAGGCUGAAACUCAAAGGAAUUGACGGGGGCCCGCACAAGCGGUGGAGCAUGUGGU